Molecule: ribosomal RNA, 467 nt
Filed under: uncultured bacterium
Lineage: Bacteria
Description: partial 16S ribosomal RNA
Rfam family: Bacterial small subunit ribosomal RNA
Source: RNAcentral
GACGAACGCUGGCGGCGUGCUUAACACAUGCAAGUCGAACGGAAAGGCCCUGCUUUGUGGGGUGCCCGAGUGGGGAACGGGUGGGGAAACAGUGAGUUACCUGCCCCUGACCUUUGGGUAAAUUCAAGGAAAUGGGGCCAAUUACGGAUUGGAGCCCCUGCCGCAUGGUGGGGGGUGGGAAGUUUCGGCGGUUGGGGAUGGACUCGCGGCUUAUCAGCUUGUUGGUGGGGUAGUGGCUUACCAAGGCUUUGACGGGUAGCCGGCCUGAGAGGGUGACCGGCCACAUUGGGACUGAGAUACGGCCCAGACUCCUACGGGAGGCAGCAGUGGGGAAUAUUGCACAAUGGGCGGAAGCCUGAUGCAGCAACGCCGCGUGCGGGAUGACGGCCUUCGGGUUGUAAACCGCUUUCGCCUGUGACGAAGCGUGAGUGACGGUAAUGGGUAAAGAAGCACCGGCUAACUACGUG